Neofelis nebulosa (Clouded leopard) is the source of this 680-nucleotide long non-coding RNA. RefSeq lists it as uncharacterized. The record is from RefSeq and is a predicted model, not a curated record. The transcript has 3 exons. NCBI's taxonomy places the organism in Eukaryota, Metazoa, Chordata, Mammalia, Carnivora, Felidae.
UCAGAAAAGCAGCGAUCAGCUUUUUUAUCAUAACAGGAAUUGCUGCAAAGGAACUGGAUUUGGCAGAGUAAUACUGUUCUUUGCCUGUAACAUCUUUUUAUACAUUAUGCUCCUUUCUUGUAAACUGACACUGUCAUUUUCUUUAUUUAAACCCAUUUAUUAACUAGAUGCUCAACACUGCUUCUUGCAUCUGGUAACAAAGAUGUAUUGGAUAAAGCCAUUCAUUCACCAACGUUGAGACCCCACUAUCUCCUCAUAUUAUCCUUAUGCGAAAUAUGGACAAACGAGGUCUAGUUGAAUGAUUAUCUUAAAUGAUGCCCAUCCAAGAGGUCCCUGGCAGAAGACUGCAUUUUUUUCUUCAGUUCUGCCUGUUCAACACUGAAAUCAACACAUCGGAGAAAUUAAUUGAAAGGCAUACUUUUUCGAGGGAGCCGGAGGGAGAGGUUCAGGAGGGGAAGGAAAGAGAGCAGAGUAAGUAGGAGGAAGUUACUCGUCUAAAGAGGCAUUUUAGGAUGUUUACACUGAAGGCACCUGCAUCUUUACCUCCUUUUGUGUAGCGAAAUGAAGGCCAGCCAUGAUCAGCAAGGCUGGGGAACAGAGAGUCAUUAAAAAGACGGAAUCAUUAGCUGCUGAUGGUGCUGGUCCUGUCCUCCCGUACGGCACAAAGAGGAAUGGUCAUG